This 831-nucleotide long non-coding RNA is filed under the name Ursus maritimus (polar bear). Its description in RNAcentral is "lncRNA (ENSUMAG00000008599.1)". Lineage: Eukaryota; Metazoa; Chordata; Mammalia; Carnivora; Ursidae. The record is from RNAcentral.
GGGGCAUCGGGUCCCCCAGGGCCAGGAAGCUUCCCACUCUGGAAAAGGCUGCAGAACACGUGCUGUUCCAAGCUAGGAUUCCUGUCCAGACAGCCUUUAUAAACCCAGUGAGUAGGGGCUCUGCUUCAGCUCCCUUGUCACUUUGUGCUGCCUGGUCCCCCUGUGAGUAGACACUCCAGCUUUCUUGAGUGGCAGACUUGGCUCCUGGCCUGGUUCUGCAUCCCUGAGCCCUGCAUGAGGCUUCAUGGGGCUUGAUUUUUAAAAUGUCCAUCUCCUAGGCUUCCUUCUGCUGGGCGGUGCCAGGCUCAGUGUGCGUUUUUUCAGCCAGUGUUUACGGAGUGCAUCCUGCCUGCCCAGUGAUUUAGAAACCUCAAGGCUCAGGGCAGAGAGAGGGCUGAGGACCAGGAAGGCUGCACUGAGGAGGACUGAGUCCUGGACGUGGGCUGGCAUCAUGGUCGUCCUCUACCUGAGAUGCUUUCAGAUAAAUGGCAAAGGCUCCUGUUUCGUCUGUUGGUAGCAUCAUCUGGCAUCAUCUAGAGGCUUAGAAGGAAUAUACCUACGUAACUGAAAUGACACAACAAACUCUCAAAGGAACAGGUCUGUGAAACAGUUUGCUAGUUUCUCUUUCUGUGGAUAAUCAAGGGAAACAUUUGGAAUAUCUGAGGAUAAAUAAGGGCCAACAGGCCACGUACUGAGAGAGUUUCAGAAGCUAGGUCUGGCCCUGCCAAGGCCUUUCGUUCUUCUUCCUGGCUUGACUUGUGGGCCUGUUCGGUAAAGCGGCUUCUCCAAGCAGAGACCAGGUAUCCCUGGCCUUGCGUCUUCAAACACUGC